AGUGAACGCUGGCGGUAGGCCUAACACAUGCAAGUCGAACGGCAGCACAGUAAGAUCUUUCUCUUACGGGUGGCGAGUGGCGGACGGGUGAGGAAUACAUCGGAAUCUACUUUUUCGUGGGGGAUAACGUAGGGAAACUUACGCUAAUACCGCAUACGACCUACGGGUUAAAUCAGUGGAUCUUCAGACCUUGCGCGAUUGAAUUAGCCGAUGUCGGAUUAGCUAGUUGGCGGGGUAAAGGCCCACCAAGGCGACGAUCCGUAGCUGGUCUGAGAGGAUGAUCAGCCACACUGGAACUGAGACACGGUCCAGACUCCUACGGGAGGCAGCAGUGGGGAAUAUUGGACAAUGGGCGAAAGCCUGAUCCAGCCAUACCGCGUGGGUGAAGAAGGCCUUCGGGUUGUAAAGCCCUUUUGUUGGGAAAGAAAAGCAGCAGGUUAAUACCCCGCUGUUCUGACGGUACCCAAAGAGAAAGCACCGGCUAACUUCGUG
RNAcentral lists this ribosomal RNA (492 nucleotides) under uncultured bacterium. Its description in RNAcentral is "partial 16S ribosomal RNA". It matches the Rfam family "Bacterial small subunit ribosomal RNA", at positions 29 to 507 of the family's 1533-position model. The record is from RNAcentral.